This 78-nucleotide microRNA precursor is filed under the name Schistosoma mattheei. RNAcentral describes it as "mir-3492 microRNA precursor family". It matches the Rfam family "mir-3492 microRNA precursor family". Lineage: Eukaryota; Metazoa; Platyhelminthes; Trematoda; Strigeidida; Schistosomatidae. The record is from Rfam by way of RNAcentral.
AAUUUUCUGAAUCCGUGCAGAGAUUUCGUCAGACACCAACUCAUUAAAGCAGAUCAGAUUUUCAAGAUAAGUGAAGUU